Molecule: ribosomal RNA, 248 nt
Filed under: uncultured bacterium
Lineage: Bacteria
Description: partial 16S ribosomal RNA
Rfam family: Bacterial small subunit ribosomal RNA
Source: RNAcentral
GCAAGUCGACUGGAAUUCUUCUUCGGAAGAUAGUACGGUGGCGGACGGGUGAGUAACGCGUAAAGAAUUUGCCCUUCAGACUGGGACAACUAACCGAAAGGUUAGCUAAUACCGGAUAUUAUGAGACCUUGGCAUCAAGGACUUAUGAAAGCUAUAUGCGCUGAAGGAGAACUUUGCGUCCCAUUAGGUAGUUGGUAGGGUAAUGGCCUACCAAGCCGACGAUGGGUAGCGGGGUCGAGAGGCUGAAC